CGUUGGUAUAGAAGCACAUGAAGUAGGAUUGUGCAUUUGCAGCCCUUUCCUAUGCAGACUUUCCCCAUAUAUACUUCUUUCUAGCUUAUCUCUGGAUGUGGACCCCUAGUUCAAAGCUCUCCAUGACAGGUCACCAUGUCUCUCUCCUAGCACACUAUGAAGAAAGAAAACAAAGCUUUACUGGCAACUCAGGUAGAAUGUCAAAAUGUGAGGUUUGGAAACUCAAAGGUAAAGUAAAUGGUCCUGUCUCUCAUUCUGAUGGCUGGAAACUGAUCUGUUACUGGGACUAUGAAAAAAAACAUGAUCAUGCCUCAACAUGUAUUGAAUAA
This 329-nucleotide long non-coding RNA is filed under the name Cyanistes caeruleus (blue tit). RNAcentral's name for it is "lncRNA (ENSCCEG00000022755.1)". The record is from RNAcentral. Lineage: Eukaryota; Metazoa; Chordata; Aves; Passeriformes; Paridae.